GUAUUGCCGAGAGUUCCCUUCAAGCACUUUACAAAUGACCUUUUUGAGGUUUUAUGUAAAGUGCUUAGGGAACUCUCGGUGUAAU
This 85-nucleotide microRNA precursor is filed under the name Triticum aestivum (bread wheat). Its description in RNAcentral is "mir-395 microRNA precursor family". It matches the Rfam family "mir-395 microRNA precursor family". Rfam says of the family: mir-395 was identified in both Arabidopsis thaliana and Oryza sativa computationally and was later experimentally verified. mir-395 is thought to target mRNAs coding for ATP sulphurylases. The mature sequence is excised from the 3' arm of the hairpin. Lineage: Eukaryota; Viridiplantae; Streptophyta; Magnoliopsida; Poales; Poaceae. RNAcentral also lists the same sequence under 1 other name. The record is from Rfam by way of RNAcentral.